CCUACGGGAGGCAGCAGUGAGGAAUAUUGGUCAAUGGACGAGAGUCUGAACCAGCCAAGUAGCGUGAAGGAUGACUGCCCUAUGGGUUGUAAACUUCUUUUAUAUGGGAAUAAAAUGUUCCACGUGUGGGAUUUUGUAUGUACCAUAUGAAUAAGGAUCGGCUAACUCCGUGCCAGCAGCCGCGGUAAUACGGAGGAUCCGAGCGUUAUCCGGAUUUAUUGGGUUUAAAGGGAGCGUAGGUGGAUUGUUAAGUCAGUUGUGAAAGUUUGCGGCUCAACCGUAAAAUUGCAGUUGAAACUGGCAGUCUUGAGUACAGUAGAGGUGGGCGGAAUUCGUGGUGUAGCGGUGAAAUGCUUAGAUAUCACGAAGAACUCCGAUUGCGAAGGCAGUUCACUGGACUGCAACUGACACUGAGGCUCGAAAGUGUGGGUAUCAAACAGGAUCAGAUACCCGUGUAGUC
RNAcentral lists this ribosomal RNA (460 nucleotides) under uncultured bacterium. RNAcentral describes it as "partial 16S ribosomal RNA". It matches the Rfam family "Bacterial small subunit ribosomal RNA", at positions 338 to 795 of the family's 1533-position model. The record is from RNAcentral.